Molecule: ribosomal RNA, 458 nt
Filed under: uncultured bacterium
Lineage: Bacteria
Description: SSU rRNA
Rfam family: Bacterial small subunit ribosomal RNA
Source: RNAcentral
AGAAUCAACGCUGGCGGCGUGCCUAACACAUGCAAGUCGAACGAGAAAGUGGAGCAAUCCAUGAGUAAAGUGGCGCACGGGUGAGUAACACGUGACUAACCUACCCUUGAGUGGGGGAUAACCUAGGGAAACCUGGGCUAAUACCGCAUAAUACCUUCGGGUCAAAGGAGCAAUUCGCUUAAGGAGGGGGUCGCGGCCGAUUAGUUAGUUGGCGGGGUAAUGGCCCACCAAGACUGUGAUCGGUAUCCGGCCUGAGAGGGCGCACGGACACACUGGAACUGAAACACGGUCCAGACUCCUACGGGAGGCAGCAGUGGGGAAUUUUGCGCAAUGGGGGAACCCUGACGCAGCAACGCCGCGUGGAGGAUGAAGUCCCUUGGGACGUAAACUCCUUUCGAUCGGGACAUUAUGACGGUACCGGAAGAAGAAGCCCCGGCUAACUUCGCGCCAGCAGCCGC